This is a long non-coding RNA of Puntigrus tetrazona (Sumatra barb), 1602 nucleotides long. RefSeq lists it as uncharacterized. The transcript has 3 exons. NCBI's taxonomy places the organism in Eukaryota, Metazoa, Chordata, Actinopteri, Cypriniformes, Cyprinidae. The record is from RefSeq and is a predicted model, not a curated record.
AGUGGUCGGCGCUUGUUGGGUCACGUGACAAAUCCUCCCGGAAAUUAAAGUUAAUUCGAAAUAAUAGGCAAGUUAUGUUCUUACCCAGAACGAUGCGAUUUCAAAUCUAGCUACUACUCCUGUCCCGAGUGCUCUCAUAUCGGAACUAGCCGGUUAAUCUAUUAUUUCUGCCGAAGCCUAAUCUUUACCGGAUUGGGGGAGCUACAUCUUUCUGUAAUCAUUACAGACACCUUGAUUAACACCUGCCUUUAUCCAGCGAGUGCCUUGGGCAAGUGCCGAGCUGCAGGAUGAGAAAUGGUGCACCUGUGUGCCGUCUAAAGAUAGGCUAGCAGUGGAGGGCCAGGGAGCAGACUCCAGAGGACCCAUCCGUCUCAAUCGAAGGCUGCAGCUGACACCUUACAAAGAGGCCCGGAGAGGACCGUCCCGCCUGAAACACUGUCACAGCUCGCCUGACUGGCAGUUCAAGAGCUCUUCAUUAGAAUCCCGCUGGGUCUACGGCAAAGAAAAACAAUGUGGUUGGCCCAGGACCUGUAACCUUCCCAUUUAAUCACCGCUUCAAACUGCAUUGUCUCUCCCCACCGUGGGAGCUGGUUUCCAAGGCUCUGCUGAGACUCCUAGUCAAACAACCUCCUAUGUGACCGGGCUAACACGUCUCUCUCUCCGUCACACCGGCACACAAGGAGCUUUAGGUCUCUUUACAGCUCGAUUAGCACACGUUUUAUUAGCAACACAUGCCGUAACGCAUAUAACAUCGCUCGUUUAAGGAAAUAUCAGAAGCCGAAUUAAUGUGCUGCGUAUUUACGCAAACAGAUGCUUUUGACAAACAAAUGGAGCUUGCCAGAACAGGCAAACAGCACAUAUAUUAUUUUCAGUAAUUUGUGUUUGUAGACUUGUACAUUUUUCUUGUUUGACGCUAAACUAGAGACAGCGUGUUUUCACAAAAAUAGUUCAUUUCUAUACUAUUAAUUAAUGCACUGUGUGUAAAUCAGAUACUAAUUCAAUUUCAUUUAUAAAUAUUUGCGCUAUUACUGCAUGCGUUUAUUCUUUUUUUUAAUUGAUUGUUUUUUAGGUGAAUGUCAGCUUUAUUUCCAACACGAUUUAAAAGAUAGCAUCACUUAGAUCCGUUUCCAAAUUCUGUUCCAAUAACCGUCACGUUAAUCAGAACUUAACAUGCCAAUUCACCUCGGCCGCUUUGAGAAAUGUAAGACAAAAAAAGUGAGUCGUUGAGGAAGAGAGAGAGAGGGAAAGAGACAGAGACGGAAAGAAUGACAACGAGAAGCCCCUGCGUGAUCAUAAAGAUAAAAUCUUACAGGACAUCUUCUAAAAAGGAAAGCUCUUCUUUUUUUUUUUUCCCCUGAGAAAUUGCAACUCAUAUCAUUCACUCUGUCUCUGUCAAGUGUAUAAAGAGAAAAUACAGUACCGUUUUAAUCAACCACUGAGACCUGAACAAAAGGCAAAUGAAUCCUGCAGUCUGAGUUCCAGAGCUGCUCCGGUGACCUCUUCCCUCGGCAGCCGUGCUGCAUACUGCAAAUGAGGCAGGCACCCAGGGAUUCCUGCUCACCUCACCUCUGACUGGCAUUGUGGGUUUUUUGCACUAUUAUU